UACGGAGGGUGCGAGCGUUGUCCGGAAUCACUGGGCGUAAAGGGCGCGUAGGCGGCCUGAUAAGUAGGGGGUGAAAUCCUGCGGCUUAACCGCAGGGCUGCCUUCUAAACUGUCAGGCUUGAGCACAGUAGAGGCAGGUGGAAUUCCCGGUGUAGCGGUGGAAUGCGUAGAGAUCGGGAAGAACACCCGUGGCGAAGGCGCCGCUCUGGGCCGAGACUGACGCUGAGGAGCGAAAGCGUGGGUAGCAAACAGG
RNAcentral lists this ribosomal RNA (253 nucleotides) under uncultured bacterium. RNAcentral's name for it is "partial 16S ribosomal RNA". It matches the Rfam family "Bacterial small subunit ribosomal RNA", at positions 524 to 776 of the family's 1533-position model. The record is from RNAcentral.